This 250-nucleotide long non-coding RNA is filed under the name Phoenix dactylifera (date palm). RNAcentral describes it as "long non-coding RNA (PDAC_LNC015631)". Lineage: Eukaryota; Viridiplantae; Streptophyta; Magnoliopsida; Arecales; Arecaceae. The record is from RNAcentral.
GCUUAUAUAAUUCCAAAUGAAAGGGAAAGCUUUAAUUUCAGGAUUUACUGUUUCACACCUUUCAAUUUUGGAUAAAUUAAAUGACUAGACACUUGAAUUCAUUUCAAAACUUUAUUAUAAAUCUUCUUUUUGGUUGAGCAAUUCACUUUACAAAUACUCAAUAUUUUGUCAUCAUAAAAAAGGGAGAGAUUGUGGAGUGAUUGAUUAUAACCCUAUUUGAUUUUGAUGAGCUCAAAGCAUUUGAGUAUAU